UAUGUCAUGGUGGUGCUACAUAGUCUAAACAAUGAAAAUUACUAUUGUCCACUUAAGAGUACGUUUCACUUGAAACUUUGCCGAAUUGGAAUUUUGAAUUCACUCUCCCUUUUCUAUUGCAAAUUUUAUCUCAUUGUUAAUCAUUAAAAUACAUCUUGAUCUCAUUCUACUAAUGUACCGAGAGUGACGAACUUAGUAAUGAUGUAUCAUAUUACCUUAUAAUAUUUAAUUAGGUAUACCCUCAAUGGUUGUGUUAAUCAUCAAAAUAACACUAUCAUCCUCAAA
This 285-nucleotide long non-coding RNA is filed under the name Phoenix dactylifera (date palm). Its description in RNAcentral is "long non-coding RNA (PDAC_LNC009754)". Lineage: Eukaryota; Viridiplantae; Streptophyta; Magnoliopsida; Arecales; Arecaceae. The record is from RNAcentral.